GAUGAACGCUGGCGGCGUGCCUAAUACAUGCAAGUCGAGCGAACAGAUAAGGAGCUUGCUCCUUUGACGUUAGCGGCGGACGGGUGAGUAACACGUGGAUAACCUACCUAUAAGACUGGGAUAACUUCGGGAAACCGGAGCUAAUACCGGAUAACAUAUUGAACCGCAUGGUUCAAUAGUGAAAGGCGGCUUUGCUGUCACUUAUAGAUGGAUCCGCGCCGUAUUAGCUAGUUGGUAAGGUAACGGCUUACCAAGGCAACGAUACGUAGCCGACCUGAGAGGGUGAUCGGCCACACUGGAACUGAGACACGGUCCAGACUCCUACGGGAGGCAGCAGUAGGGAAUCUUCCGCAAUGGGCGAAAGCCUGACGGAGCAACGCCGCGUGAGUGAUGAAGGUCUUCGGAUCGUAAAACUCUGUUAUCAGGGAAGAACAAAUGUGUAAGUAACGGUGCACUUCUUGACGGUACCUGAUCAGAAAGCCACGGCUAACUACGU
RNAcentral lists this ribosomal RNA (496 nucleotides) under uncultured bacterium. RNAcentral describes it as "partial 16S ribosomal RNA". It matches the Rfam family "Bacterial small subunit ribosomal RNA", at positions 28 to 506 of the family's 1533-position model. The record is from RNAcentral.